AUGGUAGCCUACCAGCUAGACUUACCCAGAGAAUUAUCCGAUAUCCACAACGUGUUCCACGUCUCGCAAUUAAGGAAGUGCGUGAGCAACCCAGAGAAGCAAGUAUCCCAUGAAAACAUUGACGUGCAACCAGACCUCACCUAUCGGGAACAUCCAGUAAAAAUAUUGGAGGAGUCUGAAAGAAGGACCCGAUAG
RNAcentral lists this ribosomal RNA (195 nucleotides) under Triticum aestivum (bread wheat). RNAcentral's name for it is "partial small subunit ribosomal RNA". Lineage: Eukaryota; Viridiplantae; Streptophyta; Magnoliopsida; Poales; Poaceae. The record is from RNAcentral.